AUGUGCGCCUUAAGCACCCAUUUGCAGAGUGCUGGUUGGAUGAAACCUGUGUUUGAGGGUCCCUCUCAGAAGGCUGUAUGUUGCAGGGGGAAUGUGGGACAUCCAUACUCUGUGAGCUCUGUCCUGAAACAAGCGUGCGCAGACUGUGGUGGUACCGCUGAUGGCAGUGGAGCUCCAGCAGCACAGAGCAGCAGAGGACCCAGCCCGUCCAGAACAACGUGAACAUCAGUUCCUCCGUUUUCUUGUUUAGUUGUGAAAACUGGUGCGAUUCCUCUCUCUGAUGAAGUGGCAAACCCGUCUUCCAGGAUACCAGCUGGCAGGGUGAGUUUGCUGUUGCUGGUCGAGGUCAGGCCCCACAUCACCCACGCUGCAGGACGUGGCCCUUCUGCUUCCAUGGCCCUGAGCUCACGCUUCUUCCAGGG
Molecule: long non-coding RNA, 422 nt
Organism: Calidris pugnax (ruff)
Lineage: Eukaryota; Metazoa; Chordata; Aves; Charadriiformes; Scolopacidae
Exons: 3
Source: RefSeq, a predicted model, not a curated record